UACAGAGGGGGCAAGCGUUAUUCGGAAUUAUUGGGCGUAAAGGGCGCGUAGGCGGCCUGGCAAGUGGAAGGUGAAAUCCCUCGGCUUAACCGAGGAACUGCCCUCCAAACUGCUUGGCUUGAGUCCGGGAGAGGUGAGUGGAAUUCCCAGUGUAGCGGUGAAAUGCGUAGAUAUUGGGAGGAACACCAGUGGCGAAGGCGGCUCACUGGACCGGAACUGACGCUGAGGCGCGAAAGCGUGUGGAGCAAACGGG
Molecule: ribosomal RNA, 253 nt
Filed under: uncultured bacterium
Lineage: Bacteria
Description: partial 16S ribosomal RNA
Rfam family: Bacterial small subunit ribosomal RNA
Source: RNAcentral